CGCUCUUUGAAAAUAAAAAAUAAAGAGUCGAGCCUGCCCAGUGAUAGAUAUUUAACGGCCGCGGUACUCUGACCGUGCAAAGGUAGCAUAAUCAUUUGCCUUAUAAUUGAAGGCUAGUAUGAAUGGUUUGACGAAAACAAUACUGUCUCUUUUUAAUUUUAUAAAAUUUGAUUUUUAGGUGAAGAAGCCUAAAUAAAAUUGAAAGACAAGAAGACCCUAUCGAGCUUAAAAAAAUUUUGUUAAAAUAAAAUGGCUAUAAAAGACCGCCUAUAACAAAAAAUUUUAGUUGGGGCGACUAAGGAACAAAAAAGCUUCCGCUUUAUUAUAAAAGCUUAUAAGCUAUGAUCCAAAAUUCUUGAUUAAAAAAAUUAGCUACCGUAGGGAUAACAGCAUAAUCUUUUUUGAGAGUUCUUAUCGAAAAAUAGGUUUGUGACCUCGAUGUUGGACUAGAAUAUCCUAAAUGAUGCAGAAGUCUUUAAGGGUUGGUCUGUUCGACCACUAAUAUUCUACGUGAUCUGAGUUCAGACCGG
This 530-nucleotide ribosomal RNA is filed under the name Austropyrgus turbatus. Its description in RNAcentral is "partial 16S ribosomal RNA". It matches the Rfam family "Bacterial large subunit ribosomal RNA", at positions 1817 to 2619 of the family's 2925-position model. Lineage: Eukaryota; Metazoa; Mollusca; Gastropoda; Littorinimorpha; Tateidae. The record is from RNAcentral.